GUUGUGGCUCAGUGGUAGAGUGCAUGCCUAGAACAUUCGAGACCCUGGGUUUGAUCCUCAGCAAAACA
RNAcentral lists this transfer RNA (68 nucleotides) under Marmota monax (woodchuck). RNAcentral's name for it is "tRNA.Ser". Lineage: Eukaryota; Metazoa; Chordata; Mammalia; Rodentia; Sciuridae. The record is from RNAcentral.